RNAcentral lists this ribosomal RNA (796 nucleotides) under Thyronectria austroamericana. RNAcentral's name for it is "eukaryotic LSU rRNA". It matches the Rfam family "Eukaryotic large subunit ribosomal RNA", at positions 99 to 927 of the family's 3401-position model. The record is from RNAcentral. Lineage: Eukaryota; Fungi; Ascomycota; Sordariomycetes; Hypocreales; Nectriaceae.
CGGCAACAGCUCAAAUUUGAAAUCUGGCCCUCGCGGUCCGAGUUGUAAUUUGUAGAGGAUGCUUUUGGUGCGGUGCCUUCCGAGUUCCCUGGAACGGGACGCCAUAGAGGGUGAGAGCCCCGUCUGGUUGGAUGCCAAACCUCUGUAAAGCUCCUUCGACGAGUCGAGUAGUUUGGGAAUGCUGCUCAAAAUGGGAGGUAUAUGUCUUCUAAAGCUAAAUACCGGCCAGAGACCGAUAGCGCACAAGUAGAGUGAUCGAAAGAUGAAAAGCACUUUGAAAAGAGGGUUAAAUAGUACGUGAAAUUGUUGAAAGGGAAGCGUUUGUGACCAGACUUGGGCUCGGUGAAUCAUCCGGCGUUCUCGCCGGUGCACUUCGCCGGUCCAGGCCAGCAUCGGUUCGCUCGCGGGGGAUAAAGGCGUCGGGAAUGUGGCUCCUCGGAGUGUUAUAGCCCUUCGCACAAUACCCUGCGGUGGACCGAGGUUCGCGCAUCUGCAAGGAUGCUGGCGUAAUGGUCAUCAACGACCCGUCUUGAAACACGGACCAAGGAGUCGUCUUCGUAUGCGAGUGUUCGGGUGUCAAACCCCUACGCGUAAUGAAAGUGAACGGAGGUGAGAGCUACGGCGCAUCAUCGACCGAUCCUGAUGUUCUCGGAUGGAUUUGAGUAAGAGCAUACGGGGCCGGACCCGAAAGAAGGUGAACUAUGCCUGUAUAGGGUGAAGCCAGAGGAAACUCUGGUGGAGGCUCGCAGCGGUUCUGACGUGCAAAUCGAUCGUCAAAUAUGGGCAUGGGGGCGAA